GUUUGACCACCUGGUUUCAAAUAAAAAAGCCUCUUUCAUGUAGUGUCACUGGUUUCCACACUAGUACGAGGACAUAUUGAGAGCAACUGAAGAAUCUCAGCUCUUUGGGUGAAGGGAUGAAAAGGUUAUUCCUUGAAUUGAUGAUUGCAUGAACAAGAGAAAUAUAUGGAAGCAAAAAGAAGACAUAUCUAGAUAACCCCAAGCUAACAGUAACCCAGGGUGGUCCAGCCGUACUGUUCAAGGUGUUGUCUUCUGGAGAUAGUAAAAGAUAUCCUCCAAACGACUCAGCUUCCUGCAUAUUGUACUGGGACUGCAUUUAUAAGCCCUACCUUCUGCAAAUCUUAUUAACUCAUGUGCAAUGCUAUCUGACAUGACUGUGUUAGUUUGAUUCGUCUAUUAGACCAGUUUCUACUAUUUGUGAUCCCUCUGCAACAUAUUCCUUUGGGUGGCAUAGAAGGAAAAGGAGCAGAAAACUAAAAAUAUACUUGAACAAACAGCUGGCUUCACAACCCUGAAAAGUACUUGAGAGAGUACUCAUGGGGAGGUAACUUAGAAGGACAUUGAUGUGGUGAAUAACUGUGGUUUUUCUCCUCAGGAAAAGAGGGUCAAUCCACUCCUUGUAAAUGUACAAAAUCAUUUGAAAGAAGUAUUGAUUCAUACACCAGUUUCUCCUCCCCUUUGAAGUAAUCCCAGCACCCUGAACUUUGAUCAGUUUUUCAAGUCCAAAAGGAUAACAAGAGCAGAAUUUUUGACCAAUAGUCCAAGAUACUUUAUAAGAUUUCUCCUGAGGGUUGGAAACCAAGAAAUUAUAUAGCUCAGUAGCAGCUAGUAGACAUGUUGCACUUUCGUCUUCUGAAAUAGAAAAUGAUUGAAGUCUCACAUAUAACCCAUGGCAAGCUCCACGUAGAUGUCGAACAUGAAAGAGCAGGCAGCAAGGUUCAGGAGGCUGAGAACAAACAUGAAGAGACGAGGAUCUGAAAGGCCAUGAAGAGUGAACUAUCUUGAAAAUGAGACAGUUAAACCCGUGUUACGCUGAGUAAGUUCCAGUUUCUUAUUUUAAUGCUUUGUGGGUGGAUCAACACAAAAUGUUUACUCUCUAGUCUUGGCAGGCUGUUAUCUUUCACCUAAUGAUAACUUGCUGAGGCAAUUAAAAGCUGUAUUGACAACACUGAACAAAGUCAGCAAACAUUUCCACCCCCCCACCCCCACCCCCACCCCAUAGUAAUAUUUUUUCUCUAACUAACCCAUAAUGCCAUCAUAGCAUUUGUGGAGUGAGGAGAUAUGUGGUAUGACACAAUACUGUAGUAUUGAAUCCUUUUCUUAAGCUCAAUGAAACAUAGAAAGCCACAUCCCAGGUAGACUAGAAGAUAGCUGUCAAGGCUUAUUGAAUAACUCUGAACAACUCUGUCUUUGUACCACUGUGUUUGCUAAAAUAGCCUAUUUAUCAUGAAGGACACUAUGCCCUGCACUGUCUCUUCCUUUGUGUCUCUAUCCCUUUCUUUAUAUGACCCUAUAAAAUAGCUAAGAUUUGAUCUACUAUUAGAUGUGUUAUAGUAGAAAUGAAGAGUAUGGAAUAGUUCAAUUUGUUGAAGCUUUAUUUGCUUUGUUAGAGGCAUUUUAAUGUAACGGUAUAGGGGAUUUGAUCCAAAAAAAAAAAAAAAAAAAAAGCACCUGAACCAACAGGAAAAAUCUUCAGGUCUUCAAAGGGCAGCAGGCAGCAGGUCAGUUCCCAAAGUAGGUGUGAUGAUCAGCCUCAGAUUCAGUCUUUUUGUAUAGGCAAGCAGUCACUGGUUUUCGGUUCUUUUGUGUUGAGGUGAGAUAAAGUAUUGCAGGACAAAGUGCCUUGCUCAGCUGAUAAGAAAAGUCUCAAAGAAGGAAUUUACUCUGUUC
RNAcentral lists this long non-coding RNA (1890 nucleotides) under Anser brachyrhynchus (Pink-footed goose). RNAcentral's name for it is "lncRNA (ENSABRG00000011132.1)". Lineage: Eukaryota; Metazoa; Chordata; Aves; Anseriformes; Anatidae. The record is from RNAcentral.